GGCUCCAUAGUGUAGUGGUUAGCACUCCAGACUUUGAAUCUGGCGACCUGGGCGGUGGGACCU
Molecule: transfer RNA, 63 nt
Filed under: Oryza meridionalis
Lineage: Eukaryota; Viridiplantae; Streptophyta; Magnoliopsida; Poales; Poaceae
Rfam family: tRNA
About the family: Transfer RNA (tRNA) molecules are approximately 80 nucleotides in length. Their secondary structure includes four short double-helical elements and three loops (D, anti-codon, and T loops). Further hydrogen bonds mediate the characteristic L-shaped molecular structure. tRNAs have two regions of fundamental functional importance: the anti-codon, which is responsible for specific mRNA codon recognition, and the 3' end, to which the tRNAs corresponding amino acid is attached (by aminoacyl-tRNA synthetases). tRNAs cope with the degeneracy of the genetic code in two manners: having more than one tRNA (with a specific anti-codon) for a particular amino acid; and 'wobble' base-pairing, i.e. permitting non-standard base-pairing at the 3rd anti-codon position.
Source: Rfam by way of RNAcentral